This is a long non-coding RNA of Erigeron canadensis, 667 nucleotides long. RefSeq lists it as uncharacterized. The record is from RefSeq and is a predicted model, not a curated record. NCBI's taxonomy places the organism in Eukaryota, Viridiplantae, Streptophyta, Magnoliopsida, Asterales, Asteraceae. The transcript is spliced from 5 exons.
AAUAAUUUUAAUUUUUACUCAUCAUAUUCAAUAACAAAAAAAUUCAAAUGCAUAACAAAAAUAUAUCCCUUAAAAUUACAACUUCCCACUUUUUUUUCCCACAAUGUCGCCUCCAAUCGAUUGGUCCUUCUGCUUUGGCUAAUUAGUGUUCCUUUUUAAUCAUUGGAAUCCCUUCAGAAAAAAAUAAGGUUGGAUAAGACAUGAUUGCAGAUUUGAAAAUACAAGGACUUGGGAAAGGAAAAUGAUAUGCAAUUGCUUGAAAAUUUCUGGGUUUCAUAAUUGAUCUCGCAAAUAAGUCGCAUAAUGUCGUAUAUUACAUCAUCGCAACUCGCAAGCCCAAAGUGAUUCGUAGUAAGGUGGAGACCUCCGAGAAGAAGGGUCUUAUGCGAUUAGGGCCGGGAUACAAUACGUCCAAUUGUGUCCAGUCUUAGGCGAGGAGUUCGUGGGCUACUGUUUACACAAGUUUUCAAGUGCAAUGUUGAAGUACAAAACCUAGAGAUGAGGAGUUUUAUGGAGGGAUAUGUUAUAUUUAGCUAAUAAUAACUUAGGUUUAUCAUUCCUGUAUCUCGUACGAUAGUUUUACUUUUGAUAUUUUGUUUAGAGUGACUUGGUUUUUAUGCACUUUAGUAAUGCUUUGGUUUUAAUUUGAUAUGUCGUUGCUUUCAAA